RNAcentral lists this ribosomal RNA (504 nucleotides) under uncultured bacterium. RNAcentral describes it as "partial 16S ribosomal RNA". It matches the Rfam family "Bacterial small subunit ribosomal RNA", at positions 30 to 523 of the family's 1533-position model. The record is from RNAcentral.
AUUGAACGCUGGCGGCAUGCCUUACACAUGCAAGUCGAACGGCAGCAUGGAGAGCUUGCUCUCUGAUGGCGAGUGGCGAACGGGUGAGUAAAGCAUCGGAACGUACCGUGUAGUGGGGGAUAACGUAGCGAAAGUUACGCUAAUACCGCAUACGCGCCGAGGUGGAAAGCAGGGGAUCGUAAGACCUUGCGCUAUACGAGCGGCCGAUGUCAGAUUAGCUAGUUGGUAGGGUAAAGGCCUACCAAGGCGACGAUCUGUAGCGGGUCUGAGAGGAUGAUCCGCCACACUGGGACUGAGACACGGCCCAGACUCCUACGGGAGGCAGCAGUGGGGAAUUUUGGACAAUGGGGGCAACCCUGAUCCAGCCAUGCCGCGUGAGUGAAGAAGGCCUUCGGGUUGUAAAGCUCUUUCGGCCGGGAAGAAAUCGCACAGGCUAAUACCCUGUGUGGAUGACGGUACCGGCAUAAGAAGCACCGGCUAACUACGUGCCAGCAGCCGCCGUAA